This 403-nucleotide ribosomal RNA is filed under the name uncultured bacterium. RNAcentral describes it as "partial 16S ribosomal RNA". It matches the Rfam family "Bacterial small subunit ribosomal RNA", at positions 28 to 526 of the family's 1533-position model. The record is from RNAcentral.
GACGAACGCUGGCGGCGUGCCUAAUACAUGCAAGUCGAACGCAGUGGGGACGGGUGAGUACCACGUGGGUAACCUCCCAUCAGAGGGGAUAACACUUGGAAACAGGUGCUAAACCGAUACUGAUGGAUGGACCCGCGGUGCCUUAGCUAGUUGGUGAGGUAACGGCUCACCAAGGCCACGAUGCAUAGCCGACCUGAGAGGGUAGUCGGCCACACUGGGACUGAGACACGGCCCGGACACCUACGGGAGGCAGCGGUAGAGAAUCUUCGGCAAUGGACGAAAGUCUGACCGAGCAACGCCGCGUGAGUGAAGAGGGUUUUCGGAUCGUAAAACUCUGUAGUUAGAGAAGCGGUAUCUAACCAGAAAGCCACGGCUAACUGCGUGCCAGCAGCCGAGGUAAUUC